UGGGGAAUAUUGCACAAUGGGCGAAAGCCUGAUGCAGCAACGCCGCGUGAGUGAUGAAGGCCUUCGGGUUGUAAAGCUCUGUCUUUUGGGACGAUAAUGACGGUACCAAAGGAGGAAGCCACGGCUAACUACGUGCCAGCAGCCGCGGUAAUACGUAGGUGGCAAGCGUUGUCCGGAUUUACUGGGCGUAAAGGAUGCGUAGGCGGAUUUUUAAGUGAGAUGUGAAAACCCUAAGCUUAACUUGGGGACUGCAUUUCAUACUGGAAAUCUAGAGUGCGGGAGAGGAGAAUGGAAUUCCUAGUGUAGCGGUGAAAUGCGUAGAGAUUAGGAAGAACACCAGUGGCGAAGGCGAUUCUCUGGACCGUAACUGACGCUGAGGCAUGAAAAGCGUGGGGUAGCAAAACAGGAUUAGAUACCCCUGGUAGUCCACGCCGUAAACGAUGAGUACUAGGUGUAGGAGGUAUCGACCCCUUCUGUGCCGCAGUUAACACAAUAAGUACUCCGCCUGGGAAGUACGAUCGCAAGAUUAAAAACUU
Molecule: ribosomal RNA, 536 nt
Filed under: uncultured bacterium
Lineage: Bacteria
Description: partial 16S ribosomal RNA
Rfam family: Bacterial small subunit ribosomal RNA
Source: RNAcentral